This is a long non-coding RNA of Anneissia japonica, 282 nucleotides long. RefSeq lists it as uncharacterized. The record is from RefSeq and is a predicted model, not a curated record. The transcript is spliced from 3 exons. Lineage: Eukaryota; Metazoa; Echinodermata; Crinoidea; Comatulida; Comatulidae.
AGAAAAACAAGUAUCGUGGAAUAUUGAUUAAAUUAACAUCUAAGCAAAACAUACAUUGCUUCUACAUAAACUUCAACGAACCUCUUAAAAUCUACGAUAUUCUGAUUAUGAAGACAUUCGAGGCAGUUUCGAUGUCAUUUCAUUUUGACUGCAUUCGUGGAUUGCUCCCAGGACAGACUUACAAGGUAGCCGUUAUAAUGAUGGCGCACGAUUCCACUAGCAAAGAAGUUGAAAAGACUGUUACAAUUCCAUGGGACGGAAUGACCAAUACUUUCAUAUCAG